CCCCCAUGUGAUCGAUCGGCGCCGCUACUCUCGCCGCCGCGGCUCCCUCCGGUGCCACUCCCGUGGGCUCUCCCCGGCUGCUCCGCCGCCUCCAUUCUCGCUCAGGAAAGAGAGAUUGCUACUUUUCCUGCAUGAUUUUCCCAGCAAGAAUGAUCCAAACAGUGCCAAAAGCUGCUUUUAGACGGUUGCUGGAUUCGAAGGAAUGAUACAUUCUAUUAGCAGGGUGAAUAUUCAUGUCAUAUUGACAUGUCAUCUCCAAAUUUCAACGGUGGAGAGGGAUCGGUUGACUGAAAACAAGUACGUAGUAGAGAAUUGACACUACAUUACAAGAACAGAUAUUGACAGCGUGUCAUGCAUGCAUGCGUGCAUGUGGCCUUCCGUGCGCUGGUGCGUUUGAGAUGUCUGGCUGCCGGCGCUGCGGCCACAUGCGAAGCUAUGCGCCUAUGCUUCCAGGCAGCGGCAGCAC
Molecule: long non-coding RNA, 466 nt
Organism: Oryza brachyantha (malo sina)
Lineage: Eukaryota; Viridiplantae; Streptophyta; Magnoliopsida; Poales; Poaceae
Exons: 4
Source: RefSeq, a predicted model, not a curated record